Pelobates cultripes (western spadefoot toad) is the source of this 232-nucleotide non-coding RNA. Lineage: Eukaryota; Metazoa; Chordata; Amphibia; Anura; Pelobatidae. The record is from the annotation of a GenBank genome assembly.
UCGUAAUGCUAGAGCACUUUUUCAAUGUGCUCCCCAACGACAAGGUGACGACAUAUUCGUAUGUCAAUCCAUAUCAACUUUCGAUGCCAUUUACUGCACCUACCAUGGUGACCACGGGUAACGGGGAAUCAGGGUUUGAUUCCGUACAGGGACCCAGACAAAUUGCUACCACAUGCAAGGAAGGCAGCAGGCGUGCAAAUGACCCACUCUCGAUGCGGGGAGGUAGUGACGA